This 68-nucleotide transfer RNA is filed under the name Marmota monax (woodchuck). RNAcentral describes it as "tRNA.Val". The stretch from base 5 to 65 matches the Rfam family "tRNA", at positions 6 to 65 of the family's 71-position model. From Rfam's summary of the family: Transfer RNA (tRNA) molecules are approximately 80 nucleotides in length. Their secondary structure includes four short double-helical elements and three loops (D, anti-codon, and T loops). Further hydrogen bonds mediate the characteristic L-shaped molecular structure. tRNAs have two regions of fundamental functional importance: the anti-codon, which is responsible for specific mRNA codon recognition, and the 3' end, to which the tRNAs corresponding amino acid is attached (by aminoacyl-tRNA synthetases). tRNAs cope with the degeneracy of the genetic code in two manners: having more than one tRNA (with a specific anti-codon) for a particular amino acid; and 'wobble' base-pairing, i.e. permitting non-standard base-pairing at the 3rd anti-codon position. Lineage: Eukaryota; Metazoa; Chordata; Mammalia; Rodentia; Sciuridae. The record is from RNAcentral.
GGAAUGUAGCUCAGUGGUAGAGUGCUUGCUUAACAUGUGAAAGGCCCUGGGUUUGAUCCCUAGCACCA